Molecule: non-coding RNA, 687 nt
Organism: Caretta caretta (loggerhead turtle)
Lineage: Eukaryota; Metazoa; Chordata; Testudines; Cheloniidae
Source: RefSeq, a predicted model, not a curated record
GAAGGAUCCCAGGAGGAACUGGAAUGAAAGCUGACUGCUCUUUGGACUUGUCCUGUGGCAAGUUACACUGUGUCUUUUCAAAGGACAGGCAAAUUCAUUCCAUUUCCCACAUGGCUCAACUUCACGAAUUUGCUGGUUGAAGGCAAUAGCAGGUAUUGAAGAAAAUGAACAUCUGACAAGCAUGGCUGCCCACCAGCAUCUAGCCAGAUUUGGCAGAUCAUGAAUGAAGAGAUUAAAUAGGACAAAUGUUAACAUCCCCCCUCCGAACUUAAUGCUGUUUUAUCAUUCCACUUUGUUUAUGGCACUUCAAUUUCCAAUCUAGGUGCUGGCCUGACAUCUGGUGGCCGAGACAGCUGUAGCAACACUCAGAAAGCUUCAAGACUAGAAGCUACUUGCAAGUUUGGCAGAUGUGAGUGCAAUGUGAGUGCUAAAAGGGUAGGCAACCCUCUCAAAAGCCUGUCCAAAAAGAGCAUGACUUCAGGGUGGUAUGGGCACAGAGUCUGUCCAUGCAGAGAGCAGCUUGCUGGAUCGGGGCCUAAAACAUAGCAUCUGAAACCCUCUGUAUCUAAGGGACAGCCAAAGUGUAAGAAGGCAAACAGACAGAGAGAAGGUAAGUGAUUUAUAAGUCACACAGCAGGUCAGUUGUAGAGCCAGGAAUAGAACCUAUAUCCCCAUAGUCAGGGCUGA